CAAGUCGGUCGCCCCCACGAGGGGCGAGGCGCAAGGGUGAGUAAGGCGACGGCAACCCACCCCCCGAUUGGGCAUAGCCGCGGGAAACCGCGGGUAAUUCCCAGCGACGUCCCCGGGUGGCAUCACCGGGGGACCAAAGGUGCGAUUCCGUCGGGGGACGGGCCGUCGUGGCAUCAGGUCGUUGGCGGGGUCGCGGCCCACCAAGCCGAUGACGCCUACCGGGCGUGCGAGCGUGGCCCGGCACACUGGGACUGAGACACUGCCCAGACUCCUACGGGAGGCUGCAGUCGAGAAUCUUCGGCAAUGGGCGCCAGCCUGACCGAGCGACGCCGCGUGGAGGACGACGGCCUUCGGGUUGUAAACUCCUGUCGGGGGGGAACAAGGGCGUGUGCAGAGCACGCCUUGAGUGAUCCCCGGAGGAAGCACGGGCUAAGUUCGUGCCAGCAGCCGCGGUAAGACGAACCGUGCGAACGUUAUUCGGAAUCACUGGGCUUAAAGCGCGUGUAGGCGGGCCGGCACGUCGGUUGCUGAAAGCCCCCGGCUCAACCGGGGAACGGGCACCGAUACGACCGGCCUGGAGGGGGGUAGGGGGCGCCGGAACUGCCGGUGGAGCGGUGAAAUGCGUUGAGAUCGGCAGGAACGCCCGUGGCGAAGGCGGGCGCCUGGAACCCCGGCCUGACGCUGAGACGCGAAAGCCAGGGGGAGCGAACGGGAUUAGAUACCCCGGGUUAGUCCUGGCCGUAAACCAUGAAGCACCGGGCCGCGGGCUCGCCAAU
This 776-nucleotide ribosomal RNA is filed under the name uncultured Planctomycetota bacterium. RNAcentral's name for it is "bacterial SSU rRNA". It matches the Rfam family "Bacterial small subunit ribosomal RNA", at positions 58 to 837 of the family's 1533-position model. Lineage: Bacteria; Pseudomonadati; Planctomycetota. The record is from RNAcentral.